UACAGAGACUGCAAGCGUUGUUCGGAUUUACUGGGCGUAAAGGGCGCGUAGGCGGUAGCACAAGUCAGUUGUGAAAUCUCCGGGCUUAACUCGGAAAGGUCAACUGAUACUGUGCGACUAGAGUGCAGAAGGGGCAACUGGAAUUCUCGGUGUAGCGGUGAAAUGCGUAGAUAUCGAGAGGAACACCUGCGGCGAAGGCGACUACCUGGCCUGUUCCUUGACGCUGAGGCGCGAAAGCUAGGGGAGCAAACGGG
This 254-nucleotide ribosomal RNA is filed under the name uncultured bacterium. RNAcentral describes it as "partial 16S ribosomal RNA". It matches the Rfam family "Bacterial small subunit ribosomal RNA", at positions 524 to 776 of the family's 1533-position model. The record is from RNAcentral.